GGGCAUUUUUCACCUGUCCCCAGGAUCCAGAACAACACAGAGCGUUAAACUUGCCAGGAGCGCCUAGGAGAUCAGCCACGGGAAGAUGCUCAGCCUCCUCCUAGUCUCACCAGGAAAGGCCACCGUUCAUUCCGCCGGGAGCGUGUGCCUUUGCACCAUCACGACCUCUGUCUCUCCCCUUGGCCAGAGCCCACCCUGGGGGCAGAAACCCGCUCUGAAAAGCCUGGAAGUCCGGCACAUGAUGGGCAGACCUCUGAGCUCCUGGAAUCAAGAUAUUUGGAAAACCAUCAAAAGCAGCGGUCAGAGACACCCCACCCUGUGGAGUGAAC
This 329-nucleotide long non-coding RNA is filed under the name Capra hircus (goat). RNAcentral's name for it is "lncRNA (ENSCHIG00000002118.1)". Lineage: Eukaryota; Metazoa; Chordata; Mammalia; Artiodactyla; Bovidae. The record is from RNAcentral.